Haliotis rufescens (red abalone) is the source of this 332-nucleotide long non-coding RNA. RefSeq lists it as uncharacterized. The transcript has 3 exons. The record is from RefSeq and is a predicted model, not a curated record. NCBI's taxonomy places the organism in Eukaryota, Metazoa, Mollusca, Gastropoda, Lepetellida, Haliotidae.
GGUGUCACGCGCUGGAAAGGAGCUUGAUGUUUCACAAACACUACAGUAUUUGUUUUUAACAAUCCAGCAACAGUCCUCGCAAUUUGAAGCAGUAAAUGAGUUGGACCAGCACCAGCACUAAUCAGCCCAGUGACCAAUGCAGUCAUUGAUAUGGUGAACUGGUGUGUCUGGCUAAAUUGACACAACAAUGCUGCUGAUGCCACCUCCUGACAGGGAGAUUUAUGACACCGCCAUGACAGAUCCACAUCCGGAACCAGAAGGAGCCAACAUGUAUACCGAGGAGCCAGAUGUCACAGGGUCCUUCACUUCACCAACCGUGGAAACUCUGUUGA